CAGCAGCCGCGGUAACACGGAGGGUGCAAGCGUUGUCCGGAUUUAUUGGGUUUAAAGGGUGCGUAGGCGGCCUAAUAAGUCGGUGGUGAAAGCCUCCAGCUUAACUGGAGAACUGCCAUUGAUACUGUUAGGCUUGAGUAUACUUGAGGUAGGCGGAAUUGACAGUGUAGCGGUGAAAUGCAUAGAUAUUGUCAAGAACACCAAUUGCGAAGGCAGCUUACUAAAUUAUAACUGACGCUGAGGCACGAAAGUGUGGGUAUCAAACAGGAUUAGAUACCCCGGUAGUCCCUGUCUCUUAUAC
This 301-nucleotide ribosomal RNA is filed under the name uncultured bacterium. Its description in RNAcentral is "partial 16S ribosomal RNA". It matches the Rfam family "Bacterial small subunit ribosomal RNA", at positions 509 to 807 of the family's 1533-position model. The record is from RNAcentral.